Molecule: ribosomal RNA, 640 nt
Filed under: uncultured Propionibacterium sp.
Lineage: Bacteria; Bacillati; Actinomycetota; Actinomycetes; Propionibacteriales; Propionibacteriaceae
Description: bacterial SSU rRNA
Rfam family: Bacterial small subunit ribosomal RNA
Source: RNAcentral
GGCCUAUCAGCUUGUUGGUGGGGUAAUGGCCUACCAAGGCGACGACGGGUAGCCGGCCUGAGAGGGUGACCGGCCACACUGGGACUGAGAUACGGCCCAGACUCCUACGGGAGGCAGCAGUGGGGAAUAUUGCACAAUGGGCGGAAGCCUGAUGCAGCAACGCCGCGUGCGGGAUGACGGCCUUCGGGUUGUAAACCGCUUUCGCCUGUGAUGAAGCGUGAGUGACGGUAAUGGGUAAAGAAGCACCGGCUAACUACGUGCCAGCAGCCGCGGUGAUACGUAGGGUGCGAGCGUUGUCCGGAUUUAUUGGGCGUAAAGGGCUCGUAGGUGGUUGAUCGCGUCGGAAGUGUAAUCUUGGGGCUUAACCCUGAGCGUGCUUUCGAUACGGGUUGACUUGAGGAAGGUAGGGGAGAAUGGAAUUCCUGGUGGAGCGGUGGAAUGCGCAGAUAUCAGGAGGAACACCAGUGGCGAAGGCGGUUCUCUGGGCCUUUCCUGACGCUGAGGAGCGAAAGCGUGGGGAGCGAACAGGCUUAGAUACCCUGGUAGUCCACGCUGUAAACGGUGGGUACUAGGUGUGGGGUCCAUUCCACGGGUUCCGUGCCGUAGCUAACGCUUUAAGUACCCCGCCUGGGGAGUACGG